This 554-nucleotide long non-coding RNA is filed under the name Pan troglodytes (chimpanzee). RNAcentral describes it as "lincRNA". Lineage: Eukaryota; Metazoa; Chordata; Mammalia; Primates; Hominidae. The record is from RNAcentral.
GAAAAUUGUCAACCACUCCUUCCUUAGGGGGUAAAAGCAACAUUCAGCACCGGGGGCAGGUCAAGGCGAGGCUGGCUCCCGUCUCCAGGCCCCAAGGAGCCACACCUGGACCAGACCCCAGGAAAGGCAAGGGCACUAGCUGGUGGGAGCCACCCCGCCAUGCUGAUGUCAGAGAAGCAAGAACUCUGGAGAAGCAGCCUCCUGGGACCAGAGGAGGGCCAGCAGCAGGCAGCCCGGAGACAGAACUCUCACCCACGCCUCUCCAAGCCUCCCGACAGAAGACAGAGGUCCCCCACAGCCAGAGACAUUUCCUGAAGACAUGGGGAACACAGAGGCAGAAACAGCCCAUCCACCCAGGAGCUGUCCCCCACACUGCCGGGAGCCGGCACCCAGAGCCGCCAGGUAAAACUGAGGCCACCUGGUUCAACAUCGCCUUUCAUAGAAGGGGAAGCAGCCACAGAAAGAAGGGCCUGGUAAGAAGUGGAACCUGGGACCCCCAAGCGGUGUCUCUCAUCCUGACUGGGGAUCCAGAGUAGGAGGGAGCCUUUGGUGGG